AUACGGAGGAUGCGAGCGUUAUCCGGAUACAUUGGGUAUAAAGGGUGCGUAGGCGGCCCCCCAAGUCAGCGGUGAAAUGUCCGGGCCCAACCCGGAGGGAGCAGUUGCAUCUGCGGGGCUGGAGUACGGACGCCGGCGGAGGAACGGGUGGUGUAGGGGAGAAAUGCACAGAUAUCACUAAGAACACCGAUUGCGAAGGCGUCCGCCGAGGCGUUUACUGACGCUGAGGCACGAAAGCGUGGGGAUAGAACAGGAUUAGAUACCCUGUUAUCCCACGCCGUAAGCGAUGAUAACUAACCGCCGGGGGGUAGACUUCCGGCAGCCAAGCGAAAGCGAUAAGUCAUCCACCUGGGGAGUACGGCCGCAAGGCUGAAACUCAAAUGAAUCGGCGGGG
This 394-nucleotide ribosomal RNA is filed under the name uncultured bacterium. RNAcentral's name for it is "partial 16S ribosomal RNA". It matches the Rfam family "Bacterial small subunit ribosomal RNA", at positions 523 to 918 of the family's 1533-position model. The record is from RNAcentral.